UACGAAGGGGGCGAGCGUUGUUCGGAUUUACUGGGCGUAAAGGGCGCGUAGGCGGCGGGUCAAGUCGAGUGUGAAAGCCCCGGGCUCAACCUGGGAGGUGCGCUCGAGACUGGUCUGCUAGAGUUCGGGAGAGGAGCGUGGAAUUCCCAGUGUAGAGGUGAAAUUCGUAGAUAUUAGGAAGAACACCGGUGGCGAAGGCGGCCCACUGGCUCGAUACUGACGCUGAGGUGCGAAAGCGUGGGGAGCAAACAGG
RNAcentral lists this ribosomal RNA (253 nucleotides) under uncultured bacterium. Its description in RNAcentral is "partial 16S ribosomal RNA". It matches the Rfam family "Bacterial small subunit ribosomal RNA", at positions 524 to 776 of the family's 1533-position model. The record is from RNAcentral.